GGGAGUGUAGCGUAGCCCGGCAGCGCAACUGGCUCCAGACCAGUAGGUCGGGGGUUCAAAUCCCUCUGCUCCCA
RNAcentral lists this transfer RNA (74 nucleotides) under Candidatus Heimdallarchaeota archaeon. Its description in RNAcentral is "tRNA-Trp". It matches the Rfam family "tRNA". Rfam says of the family: Transfer RNA (tRNA) molecules are approximately 80 nucleotides in length. Their secondary structure includes four short double-helical elements and three loops (D, anti-codon, and T loops). The record is from RNAcentral. Lineage: Archaea; Promethearchaeati; Candidatus Heimdallarchaeota.